GAUGAACGCUGGCGGCGUGCCUAAUACAUGCAAGUCGAGCGAACAGAUGAGGAGCUUGCUCCUCUGACGUUAGCGGCGGACGGGUGAGUAACACGUGGAUAACCUACCUAUAAGACUGGGAUAACUUCGGGAAACCGGAGCUAAUACCGGAUAAUAUAUUGAACCGCAUGGUUCAAUAGUGAAAGACGGUUUUGCUGUCACUUAUAGAUGGAUCCGCGCCGCAUUAGCUAGUUGGUAAGGUAACGGCUUACCAAGGCAACGAUGCGUAGCCGACCUGAGAGGGUGAUCGGCCACACUGGAACUGAGACACGGUCCAGACUCCUACGGGAGGCAGCAGUAGGGAAUCUUCCGCAAUGGGCGAAAGCCUGACGGAGCAACGCCGCGGGAGUGAGGAAGGUCUUCGGAUCGUAAAACUCUGUUAUUAGGGAAGAACAAAUGUGUAAGUAACUAUGCACGUCUUGACGGUACCUAAUCAGAAAGCCACGGCUAACUACGUG
RNAcentral lists this ribosomal RNA (497 nucleotides) under uncultured bacterium. Its description in RNAcentral is "partial 16S ribosomal RNA". It matches the Rfam family "Bacterial small subunit ribosomal RNA", at positions 28 to 507 of the family's 1533-position model. The record is from RNAcentral.